RNAcentral lists this ribosomal RNA (103 nucleotides) under uncultured bacterium. Its description in RNAcentral is "partial 16S ribosomal RNA". It matches the Rfam family "Bacterial small subunit ribosomal RNA", at positions 1380 to 1482 of the family's 1533-position model. The record is from RNAcentral.
CUUGUACACACCGCCCGCCACACCAUGGGAGCGGGUUCUGCCAGAAGUAGUUAGCCUAACCGCAAGGAGGGCGAUUACCACGGCAGGGUUCGUGACUGGGGUG